GAGUUUGAUCCUGGCUCAGGAUGAACGCUGGCGGCGUGCUUAACACAUGCAAGUCGAACGCUGAAGCUCCCAGCUUGCUGGGGGUGGAUGAGUGGCGAACGGGUGAGUAUCACGUGAGGAACCUGCCCUGAACCCUGGGAUAAGCCCGGGAAACUGGGUCUAAUACCGGAUAGGACUGAUCAUCGCAUGGUGGUUGGUGGAAAGCUUUUGCGGUUUGGGAUGGUCUCGCGGCCUAUCAGCUUGUUGGUGGGGUAAUGGCCUACCAAGGCGUUGACGGGUAGCCGGCCUGAGAGGGUGACCGGCCACACUGGGACUGAGACACGGCCCAGACUCCUACGGGAGGCAGCAGUGGGGGAUAUUGCAUAAUGGGCGCAAGCCUGAUGCAGCGACGCCGCGUGAGGGAUGACGGCCUUCGGGUUGUAAACCUCUUUCAGUUGGGAAGAAGCCUUUCGGGGUGACGGUACCUUCAGAAGAAGCACCGGCUAACUACGUGCCAGCAGCCGCGGUAAUACGUAGGGUGCGAGCGUUAUCCGGAAUUAUUGGGCGUAAAGAGCUCGUAGGCGGUUUGUCACGUCUGCUGUGAAAGCCCAGGGCUUAACCCUGGGUUUGCAGUGGGUACGGGCAGGCUGGAGUGCAGUAGGGGAGACUGGAAUUCCUGGUGUAGCGGUGAAAUGCGCAGAUAUCAGGAGGAACACCGAUGGCGAAGGCAGGUCUCUGGGCUGUUACUGACGCUGAGGAGCGAAAGCAUGGGGAGCGAACAGGAUUAGAUACCCUGGUAGUCCAUGCCGUAAACGUUGGGCACUAGGUGUGGGGAUCAUUUCCACGAUUUCCGCGCCGUAGCUAACGCAUUAAGUGCCCCGCCUGGGGAGUACGGCCGCAAGGCUAAAACUCAAAGGAAUUGACGGGGGCCCGCACAAGCGGCGGAGCAUGCGGAUUAAUUCGAUGCAACGCGAAGAACCUUACCAAGGCUUGACAUACACUAGACCGCCUCAGAGAUGGGGUUUCCCUUCGGGGCUGGUGUACAGGUGGUGCAUGGUUGUCGUCAGCUCGUGUCGUGAGAUGUUGGGUUAAGUCCCGCAACGAGCGGAACCCCUAUUCUAUGUUGCCAGCAAUUCGGUUGGGGACUCAUGGGAGACUGCCGGGGUCAACUCGGAGGAAGGUGGGGACGACGUCAAAUCAUCAUGCCCCUUAUGUCUUGGGCUUCACGCAUGCUACAAUGGCCGGCACAAUGGGUUGCGAGAUCGUGAGGUUGAGCUAAUCCCAUAAAACCGGUCUCAGAUCGGAUUGGGGUCUGCAACUCGACCCCAUGAAGUCGGAGUCGCUAGUAAUCGCAGAUCAGCAACGCUGCGGGAAUACGUUCGCGGGCCUGUACACAC
Molecule: ribosomal RNA, 1376 nt
Filed under: uncultured bacterium
Lineage: Bacteria
Description: bacterial SSU rRNA
Rfam family: Bacterial small subunit ribosomal RNA
Source: RNAcentral